RNAcentral lists this ribosomal RNA (777 nucleotides) under uncultured Lactobacillales bacterium. RNAcentral's name for it is "bacterial SSU rRNA". It matches the Rfam family "Bacterial small subunit ribosomal RNA", at positions 28 to 776 of the family's 1533-position model. The record is from RNAcentral. Lineage: Bacteria; Bacillati; Bacillota; Bacilli; Lactobacillales.
GACGAACGCUGGCGGCGUGCCUAAUACAUGCAAGUCGAACGCUUCUUUCCUCCCGAGUGCUUGCACUCAAUUGGAAAGAGGAGUGGCGGACGGGUGAGUAACACGUGGGUAACCUACCCAUCAGAGGGGGAUAACACUUGGAAACAGGUGCUAAUACCGCAUAACAGUUUAUGCCGCAUGGCAUAAGAGUGAAAGGCGCUUUCGGGUGUCGUUGAUGGAUGGACCCGCGGUGCAUUAGCUAGUUGGUGAGGUAACGGCUCACCAAGGCCACGAUGCAUAGCCGACCUGAGAGGGUGAUCGGCCACACUGGGACUGAGACACGGCCCAGACUCCUACGGGAGGCAGCAGUAGGGAAUCUUCGGCAAUGGACGAAAGUCUGACCGAGCAACGCCGCGUGAGUGAAGAAGGUUUUCGGAUCGUAAAACUCUGUUGUUAGAGAAGAACAAGGACGUUAGUAACUGAACGUCCCCUGACGGUAUCUAACCAGAAAGCCACGGCUAACUACGUGCCAGCAGCCGCGGUAAUACGUAGGUGGCAAGCGUUGUCCGGAUUUAUUGGGCGUAAAGCGAGCGCAGGCGGUUUCUUAAGUCUGAUGUGAAAGCCCCCGGCUCAACCGGGGAGGGUCAUUGGAAACUGGGAGACUUGAGUGCAGAAGAGGAGAGUGGAAUUCCAUGUGUAGCGGUGAAAUGCGUAGAUAUAUGGAGGAACACCAGUGGCGAAGGCGGCUCUCUGGUCUGUAACUGACGCUGAGGCUCGAAAGCGUGGGGAGCAAACAGG